UAAGAGCCUGGAGUUUGCCUGCUCUGUCA
RNAcentral lists this non-coding RNA (29 nucleotides) under Mus musculus (house mouse). Lineage: Eukaryota; Metazoa; Chordata; Mammalia; Rodentia; Muridae. The record is from RNAcentral.